UACGUAGGUGGCAAGCGUUGUCCGGAUUUAUUGGGUUUAAAGGGUGCGUAGGCGGUCUGUUAAGUCAGUGGUGAAAUACGGCAGCUCAACUGUCGAGGUGCCAUUGAUACUGGCGGACUUGAGUACUGAUGAGGUAGGCGGAAUGGACGGUGUAGCGGUGAAAUGCUUAGAUAUCGUCCAGAACACCGAUAGCGAAGGCAGCUUACUAAGGAGUAACUGACGCUGAUGCACGAAAGUGUGGGGAUCAAACAGG
Molecule: unclassified non-coding RNA, 253 nt
Filed under: uncultured Cytophagales bacterium
Lineage: Bacteria; Pseudomonadati; Bacteroidota; Sphingobacteriia; Sphingobacteriales
Description: contains 16S-23S intergenic spacer region
Rfam family: Bacterial small subunit ribosomal RNA
Source: RNAcentral